Molecule: ribosomal RNA, 683 nt
Filed under: uncultured bacterium
Lineage: Bacteria
Description: bacterial SSU rRNA
Rfam family: Bacterial small subunit ribosomal RNA
Source: RNAcentral
CCUGGGAACUGCGUUNUGAACUGGGUAGCUAGAGUAUGUCUGAGGGGGGUAGAAUUCCACGUGUAGCAGUGAAAUGCGUAGAGAUGUGGAGGAAUNCCGAUGGCGAAGGCAGCCCCNUGGGAUAAUACUGACGUUCAUGCUCGAAAGCGUGGGUAGCAAACAGGAUUAGAUACCCUGGUAGUCCACGCCCUAAACGAUGUCGAUUAGCUGUUGGGCAGCUUGACUGCUUAGUAGCGUAGCUAACGCGUGAAAUCGACCGCCUGGGGAGUACGGUCGCAAGAUUAAAACUCAAAGGAAUUGACGGGGACCCGCACAAGCGGUGGAUGAUGUGGAUUAAUUCGAUGCAACGCGAAGAACCUUACCUGGUCUUGACAUGUACGGAACCUUCCAGAGACGGAAGGGUGCCUUCGGGAGCCGUAACACAGGUGCUGCAUGGCUGUCGUCAGCUCGUGUCGUGAGAUGUUGGGUUAAGUCCCGCAACGAGCGCAACCCUUGUCAUUAGUUGCCAUCAUUCAGUUGGGCACUCUAAUGAGACUGCCGGUGACAAACCGGAGGAAGGUGGGGAUGACGUCAAGUCCUCAUGGCCCUUAUGACCAGGGCUUCACACGUCAUACAAUGGUCGGUACAAAGGGUAGCCAAGCCGCGAGGCGGAGCCAAUCUCAUAAAACCGAUNGUAGUCCGGA